RNAcentral lists this ribosomal RNA (776 nucleotides) under Klebsiella pneumoniae. RNAcentral describes it as "partial 23S ribosomal RNA". It matches the Rfam family "Bacterial large subunit ribosomal RNA", at positions 117 to 938 of the family's 2925-position model. Lineage: Bacteria; Pseudomonadati; Pseudomonadota; Gammaproteobacteria; Enterobacterales; Enterobacteriaceae. The record is from RNAcentral.
AUGGGGAAACCCAGUGCAAUUCGUUGCACUAUCGUUAACUGAAUACAUAAGUUAACGAGGCGAACCGGGGGAACUGAAACAUCUAAGUACCCCGAGGAAAAGAAAUCAACCGAGAUUCCCCCAGUAGCGGCGAGCGAACGGGGAGCAGCCCAGAGUCUGAAUCAGCUUGUGUGUUAGUGGAACGGUCUGGAAAGUCCGACGGUACAGGGUGAUAGUCCCGUACACCAAAAUGCACAGGCUGUGAACUCGAAGAGUAGGGCGGGACACGUGGUAUCCUGUCUGAAUAUGGGGGGACCAUCCUCCAAGGCUAAAUACUCCUGACUGACCGAUAGUGAACCAGUACCGUGAGGGAAAGGCGAAAAGAACCCCGGCGAGGGGAGUGAAAAAGAACCUGAAACCGUGUACGUACAAGCAGUGGGAGCACCUUCGGGUGUGACUGCGUACCUUUUGUAUAAUGGGUCAGCGACUUAUAUUCUGUAGCAAGGUUAACCGUAUAGGGGAGCCGCAGGGAAACCGAGUCUUAACUGGGCGUUAAGUUGCAGGGUAUAGACCCGAAACCCGGUGAUCUAGCCAUGGGCAGGUUGAAGGUUGGGUAACACUAACUGGAGGACCGAACCGACUAAUGUUGAAAAAUUAGCGGAUGACUUGUGGCUGGGGGUGAAAGGCCAAUCAAACCGGGAGAUAGCUGGUUCUCCCCGAAAGCUAUUUAGGUAGCGCCUCGUGAACUCAUCUUCGGGGGUAGAGCACUGUUUCGGCUAGGGGGUCAUCCCGACUUA